GACGGGGGCCCGCACAAGCGGCGGAGCAUGCGGAUUAAUUCGAUGCAACGCGAAGAACCUUACCUGGGCUUGACAUGUUCCCGACCGCUCCAGAGAUGGGGCUUCCCUUCGGGGCGGGUUCACAGGUGGUGCAUGGUNGUCGUCAGCUCGUGUCGUGAGAUGUUGGGUUAAGUCCCGCAACGAGCGCAACCCUUAUUGUUAGUUGCCAUCAUUUAGUUGGGCACUCUAGCGAGACUGCCGGUGACAAACCGGAGGAAGGUGGGGAUGACGUCAAAUCAUCAUGCCCCUUAUGACCUGGGCUACACACGUGCUACAAUGGGAAGUACAACGAGUUGCGAAGUCGCGAGGCUAAGCUAAUCUCUUAAAGCUUCUCUCAGUUCGGAUUGUAGGCUGCAACUCGCCUACAUGAAGCCGGAAUCGCUAGUAAUCGCGGAUCAGCACGCCGCGGUGAAUACGUUCCCGGGCCUUGUACACACCGCCCGUCACACCACGAGAGUUUGUAACACCCGAAGUCGGUGAGGUAACCUUUUGGAGCCAGCCGCCUAAGGUGGGAUAGAUGAUUGGGGUGAAGUCGUAACAAGGUAGCCGUAUCGGAAGGUGCGGCUG
Molecule: ribosomal RNA, 606 nt
Filed under: human gut metagenome
Description: bacterial SSU rRNA
Rfam family: Bacterial small subunit ribosomal RNA
Source: RNAcentral